This 404-nucleotide ribosomal RNA is filed under the name uncultured bacterium. RNAcentral describes it as "bacterial SSU rRNA". It matches the Rfam family "Bacterial small subunit ribosomal RNA", at positions 355 to 776 of the family's 1533-position model. The record is from RNAcentral.
UGGGGAAUAUUGCACAAUGGGCGAAAGCCUGAUGCAGCGACGCCGCGUGAGCGAAGAAGUAUUUCGGUAUGUAAAGCUCUAUCAGCAGGGAAGAAAAUGACGGUACCUGACUAAGAAGCACCGGCUAAAUACGUGCCAGCAGCCGCGGUAAUACGUAUGGUGCAAGCGUUAUCCGGAUUUACUGGGUGUAAAGGGAGCGUAGACGGUUGUGUAAGUCUGAUGUGAAAACCCGGGGCUCAACCCCGGGAGUGCAUUGGAAACUAUGCAGCUAGAGUGCCGGAGAGGUAAGCGGAAUUCCUAGUGUAGCGGUGAAAUGCGUAGAUAUUAGGAGGAACACCAGUGGCGAAGGCGGCUUACUGGACGGUAACUGACGUUGAGGCUCGAAAGCGUGGGGAGCAAACAGG